AUUGAACGCUGGCGGCAGGCCUAACACAUGCAAGUCGAGCGGAUGAAGGGAGCUUGCUCCUGGAUUCAGCGGCGGACGGGUGAGUAAUGCCUAGGAAUCUGCCUGGUAGUGGGGGAUAACGUCCGGAAACGGGCGCUAAUACCGCAUACGUCCUGAUGGAGAAAGUGGGGGAUCUUCGGACCUCACGCUAUCAGAUGAGCCUAGGUCGGAUUAGCUAGUUGGUGGGGUAAAUGCCUACCAAGGCGACGAUCCGUAACUGGUCUGAGAGGAUGAUCAGUCACACUGGAACUGAGACACGGUCCAGACUCCUAGGGGAGGCAGCAGUGGGGAAUAUUGGACAAUGGGCGAAAGCCUGAUCCAGCCAUGCCGCGUGUGUGAAGAAGGUCUGCGGAUUGUAAAGCACUUUAAGUUGGGAGGAAGGGCAGUAAGUUAAUACCUUGCUGUUUUGACGUUACCAACAGAAUAAGCACCGGCUAACUUCGU
Molecule: ribosomal RNA, 483 nt
Filed under: uncultured bacterium
Lineage: Bacteria
Description: partial 16S ribosomal RNA
Rfam family: Bacterial small subunit ribosomal RNA
Source: RNAcentral